This 253-nucleotide ribosomal RNA is filed under the name uncultured bacterium. RNAcentral's name for it is "partial 16S ribosomal RNA". It matches the Rfam family "Bacterial small subunit ribosomal RNA", at positions 524 to 776 of the family's 1533-position model. The record is from RNAcentral.
UACGUAGGUGGCAAGCGUUGUCCGGAAUUAUUGGGCGUAAAGCGCGCGCAGGCGGUCCCUUAAGUCUGAUGUGAAAGCCCACGGCUCAACCGUGGAGGGUCAUUGGAAACUGGGGGACUUGAGUACAGAAGAGGAAAGCGGAAUUCCACGUGUAGCGGUGAAAUGCGUAGAGAUGUGGAGGAGCACCAGUGGCGAAGGCGGCUUUCUGGUCUGUAACUGACGCUGAGGCGCGAAAGCGUGGGGAGCAAACAGG